RNAcentral lists this unclassified non-coding RNA (225 nucleotides) under uncultured fungus. RNAcentral's name for it is "sequence contains ITS1". Lineage: Eukaryota; Fungi. The record is from RNAcentral.
GUGUAUUAUCAAAGAAGAUUCAACAUUCAAAUGACAUUCCAUGGAGCAGAUGGUUAAAACAUAGGUUUGGAACAAAAGGCCAGACCUACAGAGGGUGCACAUGGUUUGUAAAAGGUGGCCAAAAGAAUAUCCGAGGAGUGCACCUGCCUCAUCCCAAAAGACAAGGCCAGCAACAUCCUCAAAGUUUAUUCAUUAAUGAUCCUUCCGCAGGUUCACCUACGGAAA